RNAcentral lists this ribosomal RNA (1550 nucleotides) under Klebsiella pneumoniae. RNAcentral's name for it is "bacterial SSU rRNA". It matches the Rfam family "Bacterial small subunit ribosomal RNA". Lineage: Bacteria; Pseudomonadati; Pseudomonadota; Gammaproteobacteria; Enterobacterales; Enterobacteriaceae. The record is from RNAcentral.
AAAUUGAAGAGUUUGAUCAUGGCUCAGAUUGAACGCUGGCGGCAGGCCUAACACAUGCAAGUCGAGCGGUAGCACAGAGAGCUUGCUCUCGGGUGACGAGCGGCGGACGGGUGAGUAAUGUCUGGGAAACUGCCUGAUGGAGGGGGAUAACUACUGGAAACGGUAGCUAAUACCGCAUAACGUCGCAAGACCAAAGUGGGGGACCUUCGGGCCUCAUGCCAUCAGAUGUGCCCAGAUGGGAUUAGCUAGUAGGUGGGGUAACGGCUCACCUAGGCGACGAUCCCUAGCUGGUCUGAGAGGAUGACCAGCCACACUGGAACUGAGACACGGUCCAGACUCCUACGGGAGGCAGCAGUGGGGAAUAUUGCACAAUGGGCGCAAGCCUGAUGCAGCCAUGCCGCGUGUGUGAAGAAGGCCUUCGGGUUGUAAAGCACUUUCAGCGGGGAGGAAGGCGAUAAGGUCAAUAACCUUGUCGAUUGACGUUACCCGCAGAAGAAGCACCGGCUAACUCCGUGCCAGCAGCCGCGGUAAUACGGAGGGUGCAAGCGUUAAUCGGAAUUACUGGGCGUAAAGCGCACGCAGGCGGUCUGUCAAGUCGGAUGUGAAAUCCCCGGGCUCAACCUGGGAACUGCAUUCGAAACUGGCAGGCUAGAGUCUUGUAGAGGGGGGUAGAAUUCCAGGUGUAGCGGUGAAAUGCGUAGAGAUCUGGAGGAAUACCGGUGGCGAAGGCGGCCCCCUGGACAAAGACUGACGCUCAGGUGCGAAAGCGUGGGGAGCAAACAGGAUUAGAUACCCUGGUAGUCCACGCCGUAAACGAUGUCGAUUUGGAGGUUGUGCCCUUGAGGCGUGGCUUCCGGAGCUAACGCGUUAAAUCGACCGCCUGGGGAGUACGGCCGCAAGGUUAAAACUCAAAUGAAUUGACGGGGGCCCGCACAAGCGGUGGAGCAUGUGGUUUAAUUCGAUGCAACGCGAAGAACCUUACCUGGUCUUGACAUCCACAGAACUUUCCCGAGAUGGAUUGGUGCCUUCGGGAACUGUGAGACAGGUGCUGCAUGGCUGUCGUCAGCUCGUGUUGUGAAAUGUUGGGUUAAGUCCCGCAACGAGCGCAACCCUUAUCCUUUGUUGCCAGCGGUUAGGCCGGGAACUCAAAGGAGACUGCCAGUGAUAAACUGGAGGAAGGUGGGGAUGACGUCAAGUCAUCAUGGCCCUUACGACCAGGGCUACACACGUGCUACAAUGGCAUAUACAAAGAGAAGCGACCUCGCGAGAGCAAGCGGACCUCAUAAAGUAUGUCGUAGUCCGGAUUGGAGUCUGCAACUCGACUCCAUGAAGUCGGAAUCGCUAGUAAUCGUAGAUCAGAAUGCUACGGUGAAUACGUUCCCGGGCCUUGUACACACCGCCCGUCACACCAUGGGAGUGGGUUGCAAAAGAAGUAGGUAGCUUAACCUUCGGGAGGGCGCUUACCACUUUGUGAUUCAUGACUGGGGUGAAGUCGUAACAAGGUAACCGUAGGGGAACCUGCGGUUGGAUCACCUCCUUACCUUAAAGAA